RNAcentral lists this unclassified non-coding RNA (240 nucleotides) under soil metagenome. RNAcentral's name for it is "partial contains 5.8S ribosomal RNA, internal transcribed spacer 2, and large subunit ribosomal RNA". The record is from RNAcentral.
AACGCACGAGACCUGCGGACCUGCGGAAGGAUCAUUAGCGAUGAAAUUUGGCAAGGGGGCAGCCGCGCGGCUCGACCCUUUGGCAGAUGCUUGAGGGCAGGAGGGUGGCUGGAGGCUACGGCCUUGGGCCUAAUCUUGCCCUGAAGGGCGCUUGGACGCAAGUCUAAAGCGAGCCAAGGGCAAGCCUUGGCAAACAGGCAGCAAGUAAUAUAAGUUACCGAGUACAAAACAAAGGACAAC